AGAAUAUAAGAAACCGUCUCUUAACUUUUAACUAAAAAAGUUAAGAACCGGCUCUUAUACAUAUCUUAUUUAAGAACCGGUUCUUAGCUUUUUUAGUUAAAAAUUAAGAGAUGGUUUCUUAUAUUAC
MicroRNA precursor from Brassica oleracea var. oleracea, 127 nucleotides. It matches the Rfam family "MIR9563 microRNA precursor family". NCBI's taxonomy places the organism in Eukaryota, Viridiplantae, Streptophyta, Magnoliopsida, Brassicales, Brassicaceae. The record is from Rfam.